Molecule: ribosomal RNA, 3005 nt
Filed under: Salmonella enterica subsp. enterica serovar Typhimurium
Lineage: Bacteria; Pseudomonadati; Pseudomonadota; Gammaproteobacteria; Enterobacterales; Enterobacteriaceae
Also listed under: 1 other name
Description: 23S ribosomal RNA
Rfam family: Bacterial large subunit ribosomal RNA
Source: RNAcentral
UUAAGCGACUAAGCGUACACGGUGGAUGCCCUGGCAGUCAGAGGCGAUGAAGGGCGUGCUAAUCUGCGAUAAGCGCCGGUAAGGUGAUAUGAACCGUUAUAACCGGCGAUACCCGAAUGGGGAAACCCAGUGUGACUCGUCACACUAUCAUUAACUGAAUCCAUAGGUUAAUGAGGCGAACCGGGGGAACUGAAACAUCUAAGUACCCCGAGGAAAAGAAAUCAACCGAGAUUCCCCCAGUAGCGGCGAGCGAACGGGGAGGAGCCCAGAGCCUGAAUCAGCAUGUGUGUUAGUGGAAGCGUCUGGAAAGGCGCGCGAUACAGGGUGACAGCCCCGUACACAAAAGCGCAUGUGCUGUGAGCUCGAUGAGUAGGGCGGGACACGUGGUAUCCUGUCUGAAUAUGGGGGGACCAUCCUCCAAGGCUAAAUACUCCUGACUGACCGAUAGUGAACCAGUACCGUGAGGGAAAGGCGAAAAGAACCCCGGCGAGGGGAGUGAAAAAGAACCUGAAACCGUGUACGUACAAGCAGUGGGAGCCCCACCACCAAAGCAUUCUCUGGUGUUGAAGGCCCUGCAAAGCAGCAUCGCGGUGGCGGAGCGUCGUUUGCGACGCCCAACACACAAAACAAGCGGUGAAUGCUUUGGGGUGGGGUGACUGCGUACCUUUUGUAUAAUGGGUCAGCGACUUAUAUUCUGUAGCAAGGUUAACCGAAUAGGGGAGCCGGAGGGAAACCGAGUCUUAAUUGGGCGUUAAGUUGCAGGGUAUAGACCCGAAACCCGGUGAUCUAGCCAUGGGCAGGUUGAAGGUUGGGUAACACUAACUGGAGGACCGAACCGACUAAUGUUGAAAAAUUAGCGGAUGACCUGUGGCUGGGGGUGAAAGGCCAAUCAAACCGGGAGAUAGCUGGUUCUCCCCGAAAGCUAUUUAGGUAGCGCCUCGUGAAUUCAUCUCCGGGGGUAGAGCACUGUUUCGGCUAGGGGGCCAUCCCGGCUUACCAACCCGAUGCAAACUGCGAAUACCGGAGAAUGUUAUCACGGGAGACACACGGCGGGUGCUAACGUCCGUCGUGAAGAGGGAAACAACCCAGACCGCCAGCUAAGGUCCCAAAGUCAUGGUUAAGUGGGAAACGAUGUGGGAAGGCCCAGACAGCCAGGAUGUUGGCUUAGAAGCAGCCAUCAUUUAAAGAAAGCGUAAUAGCUCACUGGUCGAGUCGGCCUGCGCGGAAGAUGUAACGGGGCUAAACCAUGCACCGAAGCUGCGGCAGCGACGCUGAUGCGUUGUUGGGUAGGGGAGCGUUCUGUAAGCCUGUGAAGGUGUGUCGUGAGGCAUGCUGGAGGUAUCAGAAGUGCGAAUGCUGACAUAAGUAACGAUAAAGCGGGUGAAAAGCCCGCUCGCCGGAAGACCAAGGGUUCCUGUCCAACGUUAAUCGGGGCAGGGUGAGUCGACCCCUAAGGCGAGGCCGAAAGGCGUAGUCGAUGGGAAACGGGUUAAUAUUCCCGUACUUGGUGUUACUGCGAAGGGGGGACGGAGAAGGCUAUGUUGGCCGGGCGACGGUUGUCCCGGUUUAAGCGUGUAGGUGUGUGUUCCAGGUAAAUCCGGUUCACUUUAACACUGAGGCGUGACGACGAGGCACUACGGUGCUGAAGCAACAAAUGCCCUGCUUCCAGGAAAAGCCUCUAAGCAUCAGGUAACACGAAAUCGUACCCCAAACCGACACAGGUGGUCAGGUAGAGAAUACCAAGGCGCUUGAGAGAACUCGGGUGAAGGAACUAGGCAAAAUGGUGCCGUAACUUCGGGAGAAGGCACGCUGACACGUAGGUGAAGUGAUUUACUCAUGGAGCUGAAGUCAGUCGAAGAUACCAGCUGGCUGCAACUGUUUAUUAAAAACACAGCACUGUGCAAACACGAAAGUGGACGUAUACGGUGUGACGCCUGCCCGGUGCCGGAAGGUUAAUUGAUGGGGUCAGCGUAAGCGAAGCUCCUGAUCGAAGCCCCGGUAAACGGCGGCCGUAACUAUAACGGUCCUAAGGUAGCGAAAUUCCUUGUCGGGUAAGUUCCGACCUGCACGAAUGGCGUAAUGAUGGCCAGGCUGUCUCCACCCGAGACUCAGUGAAAUUGAACUCGCUGUGAAGAUGCAGUGUACCCGCGGCAAGACGGAAAGACCCCGUGAACCUUUACUAUAGCUUGACACUGAACAUUGAGCCUUGAUGUGUAGGAUAGGUGGGAGGCUUUGAAGUGUGGACGCCAGUCUGCAUGGAGCCGACCUUGAAAUACCACCCUUUAAUGUUUGAUGUUCUAACGUGGACCCGUAAUCCGGGUUGCGGACAGUGUCUGGUGGGUAGUUUGACUGGGGCGGUCUCCUCCUAAAGAGUAACGGAGGAGCACGAAGGUUGGCUAAUCCUGGUCGGACAUCAGGAGGUUAGUGCAAUGGCAUAAGCCAGCUUGACUGCGAGCGUGACGGCGCGAGCAGGUGCGAAAGCAGGUCAUAGUGAUCCGGUGGUUCUGAAUGGAAGGGCCAUCGCUCAACGGAUAAAAGGUACUCCGGGGAUAACAGGCUGAUACCGCCCAAGAGUUCAUAUCGACGGCGGUGUUUGGCACCUCGAUGUCGGCUCAUCACAUCCUGGGGCUGAAGUAGGUCCCAAGGGUAUGGCUGUUCGCCAUUUAAAGUGGUACGCGAGCUGGGUUUAGAACGUCGUGAGACAGUUCGGUCCCUAUCUGCCGUGGGCGCUGGAGAACUGAGGGGGGCUGCUCCUAGUACGAGAGGACCGGAGUGGACGCAUCACUGGUGUUCGGGUUGUCAUGCCAAUGGCACUGCCCGGUAGCUAAAUGCGGAAGAGAUAAGUGCUGAAAGCAUCUAAGCACGAAACUUGCCCCGAGAUGAGUUCUCCCUGAGACUUUAGGUCUCCUGAAGGAACGUUGAAGACGACGACGUUGAUAGGCCGGGUGUGUAAGCGCAGCGAUGCGUUGAGCUAACCGGUACUAAUGAACCGUGAGGCUUAACCU